RNAcentral lists this ribosomal RNA (160 nucleotides) under uncultured bacterium. RNAcentral describes it as "partial 16S ribosomal RNA". It matches the Rfam family "Bacterial small subunit ribosomal RNA", at positions 355 to 507 of the family's 1533-position model. The record is from RNAcentral.
UGGGGAAUUUUGGACAAUGGGGGAAACCCUGAUCCAGCCAUCCCGCGUGUGCGAUGAAGGCCUUCGGGUUGUAAAGCACUUUUGGCAGGAAAGAAACGUCAUGGGCUAAUACCCCGUGAAACUGACGGUACCUGCAGAAUAAGCACCGGCUAACUACGUG